This 318-nucleotide ribosomal RNA is filed under the name Triticum aestivum (bread wheat). Its description in RNAcentral is "partial small subunit ribosomal RNA". Lineage: Eukaryota; Viridiplantae; Streptophyta; Magnoliopsida; Poales; Poaceae. The record is from RNAcentral.
AUGUUGCUGCUAUCACCAGUGCUGUUAUCUGUGGGGUUACUGCUGCUGAUGGUAUCGCUGCUGCUGUUGUUUGUGGGGUUACUGCCGCUAAUGGUGACGGUAUCGCUGCUGCUGCUGUUGUUUGUGAGGUUGGUCUCGCUGUUGCUUAGCAGGUCUUCGUCCUGGUGGCAGUGCUCCUUGCAUCUGCUUUUCAUUAUGUGGGGCUUGAGCUUGCUCAUGUCUGAUAGCCGUACUGGUUUUAGGAAGAACUCAUUUGCUCCUUCCUCCAGGCAUCUGAUUCAGAACAAACAAAACCGUAAUUGUCAGAGUUCAUUCUAA